Molecule: long non-coding RNA, 364 nt
Organism: Hippocampus comes (tiger tail seahorse)
Lineage: Eukaryota; Metazoa; Chordata; Actinopteri; Syngnathiformes; Syngnathidae
Exons: 3
Source: RefSeq, a predicted model, not a curated record
CGAGAAGCCAGUCCACAGGCCCUUUGACAAAGAUUUGGAGUUCUUAAGGCGAUGCAUUGGAAGAUAAAGUCCACCAGCUGCUGCUUCCACCACACCACAGAUCAUGCCAGUCCUCUCUCAUGUCAAACAGAUUUAUUUCCUAGUGAUAGCAGUAGUAGUAGUGGUAACAUUGAGCAGUCUACCAACUGUCCAACGAUAUUGCUUUGAUAGAGUCAGCUCUGUGCACAUCCGACACACUUUGUAUGAUUGAGAGGGGCACAUGGCUUGUAUCGCUUCAGUCUUCCCCUCGCUGUUUGUAAACACUUUUUUUUUCCCCAGUCAUGUCUUUAUGUAAUGUAAAACAAUUUGGCACAUUUUGGUCACA